This 66-nucleotide transfer RNA is filed under the name Saperda tetrastigma. RNAcentral's name for it is "tRNA-Leu". The record is from RNAcentral. Lineage: Eukaryota; Metazoa; Arthropoda; Insecta; Coleoptera; Cerambycidae.
AUUACUUUGGCAGAAUAGUGCGCUUGAUUUAGGAUCAUUUUAUGUAAAUUUUUAUUACAAGUAAUA